UACAAGUCUGAGGCUUCCUUUGCACUUGUGUUGUCAGGCUAGUUUAAACAAUAUCCAUGCUCUAUCCCCACCAUUUAUCACUCCCUCAGCUGUAAUACAUGCAAAGGCAUCCUCAGAGGAUACUGACUCACUCAAUGACUGAAGUACUUGUGGUUUGGGACCCAUUCUGUGCCAAUAAUCCUGGAACCAGGGAAGUUCUCUUUUCUUUACAAAAAGAAGCUUCCAGGCCAAGUUGCCAUUUGUUACAACACCAAGAAGCGUGGACAGCAAAGCUCUCAAGCUGGAACUCUGUAAAGCAGACCGAGUUAACAUCUCAUGAAGUUAUCCAGCCACCAGUGAGAUUUUCUGACAGGGAACAACCAGGGGCUCAGCAGCCCUUAAACACUCCCCCGUUCACACCCAGUCAGGCCAAGGACUGGCUUUGCAAGUCAUCGCUUCACCCUGCGAGGGUAACAGGGGAUUUGCCAGCCACGGAUGCAGACAAACCUCAUCUAAACAUGAAAGAGGUGCAGAGCCAAGGAGCCACUCUGGGAAAUUUGUUUACAAUGAACUAGCCUGCUUUCAGAUUCUUUCUCUGACGUAAAUUCCUGUUAUUUCUCUUGCACUACAUUUACACACUUGCCAUUAUUUUUGUUUUGUUCCCGGGAAGAGAUACAUUAAAGGGCUGAACAUCUCAUGCUCAGUGUUGUGUUUAUACUUGAGCUUUUUAGCUUGAUUAGAAAUUCAACUUUUCCUACUACUCAUGUGGCAGAAUUACUGUUCUGAAAGCACCUGCCCUUAGGGAACAGAGAUAAAUAAUUCAAACUACUGAAAGUCACCUUCUCCUUCCACUGUGCUUGGUGUUUACUGGGACCUUCUAGCAGCCAGAAUGAUCCUAACAUUUCCACUGUGUGACACUGGCACUGCUGCCAUGGGACAGCAUUUGUAAGGCCUCUUCUGCCUUCAUGCUGCACUAAAUACCUGGCACAUGGGAAUGGUAAGGAUUCUCCUCAUCAGAGUACUUCAGUCAGGAUUGUCAUUUUAUGUUUUCCCAGUACUUGGCCUGACCUCAGCAAGUUGGUGAUCCAGCUUUAAAGUCAAAAUCAAUCCUAUACAAGAAGUAUAUAUUUUUAGUUUUAUACAUUGCCAUGUAGCAACAUUUAAUCAUUC
RNAcentral lists this long non-coding RNA (1149 nucleotides) under Anser brachyrhynchus (Pink-footed goose). RNAcentral's name for it is "lncRNA (ENSABRG00000006740.1)". The record is from RNAcentral. Lineage: Eukaryota; Metazoa; Chordata; Aves; Anseriformes; Anatidae.